This 1016-nucleotide ribosomal RNA is filed under the name uncultured bacterium. RNAcentral's name for it is "bacterial SSU rRNA". It matches the Rfam family "Bacterial small subunit ribosomal RNA", at positions 357 to 1376 of the family's 1533-position model. The record is from RNAcentral.
AGGAAUAUUGGUCAAUGGGCGAGAGCCUGAACCAGCCAAGUAGCGUGAAGGAUGACUGCCCUAUGGGUUGUAAACUUCUUUUAUAAAGGAAUAAAGUCGGGUAUGGAUACCCGUUUGCAUGUACUUUAUGAAUAAGGAUCGGCUAACUCCGUGCCAGCAGCCGCGGUAAUACGGAGGAUCCGAGCGUUAUCCGGAUUUAUUGGGUUUAAAGGGAGCGUAGAUGGAUGUUUAAGUCAGUUGUGAAAGUUUGCGGCUCAACCGUAAAAUUGCAGUUGAUACUGGAUAUCUUGAGUGCAGUUGAGGCAGGCGGAAUUCAUGGUGUAGCGGUGAAAUGCUUAGAUAUCACGAAGAACUCCGAUUGCGAAGGCAGCCUGCUAAGCUGCAACUGACAUUGAGGCUCGAAAGUGUGGGUAUCAAACAGGAUUAGAUACCCUGGUAGUCCACACGGUAAACGAUGAAUACUCGCUGUUUGCGAUAUACUGCAAGCGGCCAAGCGAAAGCGUUAAGUAUUCCACCUGGGGAGUACGCCGGCAACGGUGAAACUCAAAGGAAUUGACGGGGGCCCGCACAAGCGGAGGAACAUGUGGUUUAAUUCGAUGAUACGCGAGGAACCUUACCCGGGCUUAAAUUGCAGAUGAAUUACGGUGAAAGCCGUAAGCCGCAAGGCAUCUGUGAAGGUGCUGCAUGGUUGUCGUCAGCUCGUGCCGUGAGGUGUCGGCUUAAGUGCCAUAACGAGCGCAACCCUUGUUGUCAGUUACUAACAGGUUCCGCUGAGGACUCUGACAAGACUGCCAUCGUAAGAUGUGAGGAAGGUGGGGAUGACGUCAAAUCAGCACGGCCCUUACGUCCGGGGCUACACACGUGUUACAAUGGGGGGUACAGAGGGCCGCUACCACGCGAGUGGAUGCCAAUCCCCAAAACCUCUCUCAGUUCGGACUGGAGUCUGCAACCCGACUCCACGAAGCUGGAUUCGCUAGUAAUCGCGCAUCAGCCACGGCGCGGUGAAUACGUUCCCG